GCAUAUCAAUAAGCGGAGGAAAAGAAACUAACAAGGAUUCCCCCUAGUAACGGCGAGUGAAGAGGGAAAAGCUCAAAUUUAAAAGCUGUUGUCUUUCAGGCAACCGCAUUGUAAUCUCAAGAAGUGUUUUCGAUUGUAGCCUGCGUAUAAGUACCUUGGAAUAGGUUGGCAUAGAGGGUGAAACUCCCGUCUUUGAUGCAGAUUACUAUGAUCAUGUGAUACACUUUCUAAGAGUCGAGUUGUUUGGGAAUGCAGCUCAAAAUGGGUGGUAAAUUCCAUCUAAAGCUAAAUAUUGGCCUGAGACCGAUAGCGAACAAGUACCGUGAGGGAAAGAUGAAAAGCACUUUGGAAAGAGAGUCAAACAGAACGUGAAAUUGCUGAAAGGGAAGCGUUUGAAGUUAGUCUGAUAGGAGUUGUUCAAUUGUUACUUUGGUUUCAAUGUAUGCAACUUUUUAUCGGUCAACAUCAAUUUUGAUUGAUGGAUAAAGGUAAUAGGAAUGUGGCUACAAUUUGUAGUGUUAUAGCCUAUUAUCAUAAACAUUGAUUGAGAUUGAGGACGGCAGUGUACCUUUUAGGAAGGUGUUCGCACCUAUUACACUAAGGAUGUUGACAAAAUAGCUUUAAGCGACCCGUCUUGAAACACGGACCAAGGAGUCUAACAUAUCUGCGAGUAUUUGAGUGACAAACUCGAAUGCGUAAUGAAAGUGAAUGUAGGUGUGAAGCGUAAGCUGCAACAUCGACCGAUCUGGAAUUUUUAUAAUGAUGGAUUUGAGUAAGAGCAUAUAUGUUGGGACCCGAAAGAUGGUGAACUAUGCCUGAAUAGGGUGAAGCCAGAGGAAACUCUGGUGGAGGCUCGUAGCGGUUCUGACGUGCAAAUCGAUCGUCAAAUUUGGGUAUAGGGGCGAAAGACUAAUCGAACCAUCUAGUAGCUGGUUUCCUGCCGAAG
This 946-nucleotide ribosomal RNA is filed under the name Wallemia mellicola. RNAcentral describes it as "LSU rRNA". It matches the Rfam family "Eukaryotic large subunit ribosomal RNA", at positions 38 to 966 of the family's 3401-position model. The record is from RNAcentral. Lineage: Eukaryota; Fungi; Basidiomycota; Wallemiomycetes; Wallemiales; Wallemiaceae.